Mizuhopecten yessoensis (Yesso scallop) is the source of this 1151-nucleotide long non-coding RNA. RefSeq lists it as uncharacterized. The record is from RefSeq and is a predicted model, not a curated record. The transcript has 3 exons. Lineage: Eukaryota; Metazoa; Mollusca; Bivalvia; Pectinida; Pectinidae.
GGUACAAUACUCUUACAUAGUAUCGUAGAGGUAUGAUACUCCUACAUAGUAUCUUACAUAGUAUCAUAGAGGUACGAUGCUCUUACAUAGUAUCUUACAUAAUAUCAUAGAGGUACGAUACUCCUACAUAGUAUCAUAGAGGUACAAUACUCCUACAUAGUAUCGUAGAGGUACGAUACUCUUACAAAGUAUCUUACAUAGUAUCGUAGAGGUACGAUACUCUUACAUAGUAUCGUAGAGGUACAAUACUCUUACAUAGUAUCGUAGAGGUAUGAUACUCCUACAUAGUAUCUUACAUAGUAUCAUAGAGGUACGAUACUCUUACAUAGUAUCGUAGAGGUACGAUACUAUUACAUAGUAUCGUAGAGGUACGAUACUCCCACAUAGUAUCAUAGAGGUACGAUACUCUUACCUAGUAUCAUAGAGGUACGAUACUCUUACUUAGUAUCAUAGAGGUACGAUACUCCUACAUAGUAUCAUAGAGGUACGAUACUCUUACAUAGUAUCUUACAUAGUAUCGUAGAGGUACGAUAUUCCUACAUAGUAUCGUAGAGGUACAAUACUCUUACAUAGUAUCGUAGAGGUACGAUACUCCUACAUAGUAUCGUAGAGGUACGAUACUCUUACAUAGUAUCAUAGAGGUACGAUACUCCUACAUAGUAUCAUAGAGGUAUGCUUCUCUUACAUAGUAUCUUACAUAGUAUCAUAGAGGUACGAUACUCUUACAUAGUAUCGUAGAGGUAUGAUACUCUUACAUAGUAUCUUAAAUAGUAUCGUAGAGGUACGAUACUCUUACAUAGUAUCGUAGAGGUACGAUACUCCUACAUAGUAUCGUAGAGGUACAAUAUUCUUACAAAGUAUCUUACAUAGUAUCAUAGAGGUACGAUACUCUUACAUAGUAUCGAAGAGGAUCAGGAAUUCGGAUCUGAUUUUAAUUUGAUUGCCUCCCUUCCUUCUGCAUACUUCUGUAAUAGCUAAUUGCACAUCAGUCAUAUUCAUGAUAAACUUAAUAAUUUCGAUUAAUUAUUUGUUAUUUUAUUUUUUUAAAAACCCUGAAAUUGUAAUGAAAGAAAGAAUGAUAUAAUAUAUAGAUGGCCAGAACGAGAUUCAAACCUGGGACCCUCUGAACCCUUGAUGAAUUUCUAUAUUAU